This 487-nucleotide ribosomal RNA is filed under the name uncultured crenarchaeote. RNAcentral's name for it is "bacterial SSU rRNA". It matches the Rfam family "Archaeal small subunit ribosomal RNA", at positions 336 to 826 of the family's 1478-position model. Lineage: Archaea; Thermoproteati; Thermoproteota. The record is from RNAcentral.
CAGGCGCGAAACCUCUGCAAUAGGCGAAAGCUUGACAGGGUUACUCUGAGUGAUUUCCGUUAAGGAGAUCUUUUGGCACCUCUAAAAAUGGUGCAGAAUAAGGGGUGGGCAAGUCUGGUGUCAGCCGCCGCGGUAAUACCAGCACCCCGAGUGGUCGGGACGUUUAUUGGGCCUAAAGCAUCCGUAGCCGGUUCUACAAGUCUUCCGUUAAAUCCACCUGCUUAACAGAUGGGCUGCGGAAGAUACUAUAGAGCUAGGAGGCGGGAGAGGCAAGCGGUACUCGAUGGGUAGGGGUAAAAUCCGUUGAUCCAUUGAAGACCACCAGUGGCGAAGGCGGCUUGCCAGAACGCGCUCGACGGUGAGGGAUGAAAGCUGGGGGAGCAAACCGGAUUAGAUACCCGGGUAGUCCCAGCUGUAAACGAUGCAGACUCGGUGAUGAAUUGGCUUAUUGCUAAUUCAGUGCCGCAGGGAAGCCGUUAAGUUGCCG